Molecule: ribosomal RNA, 369 nt
Filed under: uncultured Bartonella sp.
Lineage: Bacteria; Pseudomonadati; Pseudomonadota; Alphaproteobacteria; Hyphomicrobiales; Bartonellaceae
Description: bacterial SSU rRNA
Rfam family: Bacterial small subunit ribosomal RNA
Source: RNAcentral
AGGCUUAACACAUGCAAGUCGAGCGCACUCCUUUGGAGUGAGCGGCAAACGGGUGAGUAACGCGUGGGAAUCUACCCAUCUCUACGGAAUAACACAGAGAAAUUUGUGCUAAUACCGUAUACGUCCCUUCGGGGAGAAAGAUUUAUCGGAGAUGGAUGAGCCCGCGUUGGAUUAGCUAGUUGGUGAGGUAACGGCUCACCAAGGCGACGAUCCAUAGCUGGUCUGAGAGGAUGAUCAGCCACACUGGGACUGAGACACGGCCCAGACUCCUACGGGAGGCAGCAGUGGGGAAUAUUGGACAAUGGGGGCAACCCUGAUCCAGCCAUGCCGCGUGAGUGAUGAAGGCCCUAGGGUUGUAAAGCUCUUUCG